Molecule: ribosomal RNA, 253 nt
Filed under: uncultured bacterium
Lineage: Bacteria
Description: partial 16S ribosomal RNA
Rfam family: Bacterial small subunit ribosomal RNA
Source: RNAcentral
UACGUAGGGUGCGAGCGUUGUCCGGAAUUAUUGGGCGUAAAGCGCGCGCAGGCGGUUUCUUAAGUCUGAUGUGAAAGCCCACGGCUCAACCGUGGAGGGUCAUUGGAAACUGGGAAACUUGAGUGCAGAAGAGGAAAGCGGAAUUCCACGUGUAGCGGUGAAAUGCGCAGAGAUGUGGAGGAACACCAGUGGCGAAGGCGGCUUUCUGGUCUGUAACUGACGCUGAGGCGCGAAAGCGUGGGGAGCAAACAGG